Molecule: ribosomal RNA, 460 nt
Filed under: uncultured bacterium
Lineage: Bacteria
Description: partial 16S ribosomal RNA
Rfam family: Bacterial small subunit ribosomal RNA
Source: RNAcentral
CCUACGGGAGGCAGCAGUGAGGAAUAUUGGUCAAUGGCCGUAAGGCUGAACCAGCCAAGUCGCGUGAAGGAAGAAGGAUCUAUGGUUUGUAAACUUCUUUUAUAGGGGAAUAAAGGUAUCCACGUGUGGAUAUUUGCAUGUACCCUAUGAAUAAGCAUCGGCUAACUCCGUGCCAGCAGCCGCGGUAAUACGGAGGAUGCGCGCGUUAUCCGGAUUUAUUGGGUUUAAAGGGUGCGUAGGUGGUUUUUUAAGUCAGCGGUGAAAGUUUGUGGCUCAACCAUAAAAUUGCCGUUGAAACUGGAAGACGUGAGUGUGUGUGAGGUAGGCGGAAUGCGUGGUGUAGCGGUGAAAUGCAGAGAUAUCACGAAGAACUCCGAUUGCGAAGGCAGCUUACUAAGCCAUAACUGACACUGAAGCACGAAAGCGUGGGGAUCAAACAGGAUUAGAUACCCGAGUAGUC